UACGUAGGGUGCGAGCGUUAAUCGGAAUUACUGGGCGUAAAGCGUGCGCGGGCGGUUUUGUAAGCCAGAUGUGAAAUCCCCGGGCUUAACCUGGGAAUGGCAUUUGGGACUGCAAGGCUGGAGUGUGGCAGAGGAGACUGGAAUUCCCGGUGUAGCAGUGAAAUGCGUAGAUAUCGGGAGGAAUACCGAUGGCGAAGGCAGGUCUCUGGGCUGACACUGACGCUCAUGCACGAAAGCGUGGGGAGCAAACAGG
RNAcentral lists this ribosomal RNA (253 nucleotides) under uncultured bacterium. RNAcentral's name for it is "partial 16S ribosomal RNA". It matches the Rfam family "Bacterial small subunit ribosomal RNA", at positions 524 to 776 of the family's 1533-position model. The record is from RNAcentral.